CAGAGACAUGCACCAGCCUACAGAACACCGACUGAACAAAAACUGGACUGCUUGCAAGACAUGGAAGUUAAUAAAACAAAUAAAAAGCCCCAAGUUUUCAGGAUAAGAAGCCUGGGUAAGACUUCUCAGCAAGAUGAGGUUGUGAAUACUGAGCAACACGUGAAGGAAUGAUUAUUCUGAACGCUGCAGAACCACGUGGCCAGAGACAGCCUCUGCCUCAGAAACAGUAUGCAACUUGCCAGUGAUGAAAUAUCACUUGCUAUUUUCCAGUCUCUUCUUCAAGAAGGCAUGGUGGUGAUGACCCCAAGGUAUCUGAUGGGAGAAUCUGAAGAUCUAUUUUACUGUCUUGAUCUACAACUGUUUUCUUCUGCUUACUAUACAGAAACCAAUUACUUAGCAUCAAAUGGUUUUGAAGGCUCCAGAUCCUCAUGUCAGCCAUAGCAUAAAGAAAAUAAAGAUGAGGAAGUAUGAGCAGCUACUGGGGGAACACCUCUUCACCAGAUAGCAGCUGAUUUGGGUUCCGCAAUGGUACAUUGCGAAUAUACUCAUUCAAAUUCCUUUGGCUGAACAAAUGUCUAUGCCACAGAUGCCUUCAGGGAUGGGCAUGAAAGCUGAAGCAGAAAAUGCAAGGAUCCUGACUAUGCCAUAUCCAUGCAAAAAACAAACAAACAAACAAACAAACAAACAAAAAAAGCCCAACAACAACAACAACAAAAAACCAACCUUCUCCCUUACACAUUUCCCUCACUUGUUCAGAACACUGAAUGUUUUGUGGUUGUACCUUUAGGUUAUAAUUUUGAUGUUAUGUAUAAGUAAUCUUUCUAUUCAUCUUGUUUACUGUUUAAUUUUUGUUGAACUUUCACAACCACAGAUUAACACUAUUUAAUUACCAGAAUUUGUCUACACGUUCCUAAAAUGCCUUAAAAACAAUUUUUAUGCCCACUGCAUAAUACUGCAGUGAUAUAUACUGUGCUUACUUGUAGGCUCAAUACUGGACUGGGUCCAAACCUCUACUCCCCUCACCCUUCCAUUAAAAAGAGUGAAUGUUUGAUAAUGUACCCACCCAAGCAAAAGACAUAUUUGUUGUACAGCUUCCAGUACAAAGAAGUUUUACUCCCAUUGUGUUCUUUAGAAUGUGUAGCAAUGACUUUUAUUCAUAAAUAUUUUUCUAGAAUCAGUGAUGCAUACAGAAUACCAAUGAAGUUUGUUCUCAUCACUAAAUCAGGCCAC
Molecule: long non-coding RNA, 1230 nt
Filed under: Gallus gallus (chicken)
Lineage: Eukaryota; Metazoa; Chordata; Aves; Galliformes; Phasianidae
Source: RNAcentral